Molecule: ribosomal RNA, 164 nt
Filed under: Hidalgoa ternata
Lineage: Eukaryota; Viridiplantae; Streptophyta; Magnoliopsida; Asterales; Asteraceae
Description: 5.8S ribosomal RNA
Rfam family: 5.8S ribosomal RNA
About the family: 5.8S ribosomal RNA (5.8S rRNA) is a component of the large subunit of the eukaryotic ribosome. It is transcribed by RNA polymerase I as part of the 45S precursor that also contains 18S and 28S rRNA.
Source: RNAcentral
AAAACGACUCUCGGCAACGGAUAUCUCGGCUCACGCAUCGAUGAAGAACGUAGCAAAAUGCGAUACUUGGUGUGAAUUGCAGAAUCCCGUGAACCAUCGAGUUUUUGAACGCAAGUUGCGCCCGAAGCCACUCGGCUGAGGGCACGUCUGCCUGGGCGUCACGC